GAGAGACUGCACUGCGCCUUCCCCUGCGCCUGUCCCGCAUCUGUCAGACCCUGAUUUCUGUGAUGAAGACUACAAACAAACUAGCUUGAUUUCAGCUCAUAUCACCAUUUCCUGUAAUGAUGUGUAUGGCUUUAUCUGUAAAGAGAUGAAUUACACCUGCGACACACUCUAUGCCCCUUAUGCUAAGUACACCAUCAGUGAUGUGAGGGCACUGGACAAGGGGGUCUACUGGUGCGGCAACAGAUCACUGAGCGAAGGCCACAGAGUGUCACGACAGAAAAUACUACUUCAAGUCUUUGCAGAAAUUAUAGAUGUGCCGGGCUGCUCUGGAGGCUG
This is a long non-coding RNA of Periophthalmus magnuspinnatus, 336 nucleotides long. RefSeq lists it as uncharacterized. The record is from RefSeq and is a predicted model, not a curated record. NCBI's taxonomy places the organism in Eukaryota, Metazoa, Chordata, Actinopteri, Gobiiformes, Gobiidae. The transcript is spliced from 3 exons.